Molecule: unclassified non-coding RNA, 369 nt
Filed under: Chytriomyces hyalinus
Lineage: Eukaryota; Fungi; Chytridiomycota; Chytridiomycetes; Chytridiales; Chytriomycetaceae
Description: partial internal transcribed spacer region
Rfam family: Eukaryotic small subunit ribosomal RNA (bases 1-46)
Source: RNAcentral
AAGUCGUAACAAGGUAACCGUAGGUGAACCUGCGGUUGGAUCAUUAUUGAACUUUUUUCUCUCAGCUGUUUAACCGCAGUUGGGAGAGAAUAACACCCCCCUUGUGAACCUUAUAACCGUAACUGGAGUUGGCUCCGCCGAUGUGCGCGUUGCCCAAUGUUUGUUUUGUUUGGUAGCUUCUUGGACUUUUUUAUUAAAGGACAGGAAGCUGCUGAGGAAAGCGAUGCUGGCGCAAUUCGCAUUGAGGGGCCUUCGCCAAAUGUAACCACACCCAUUAUACUGUAUUAUAUUUUGUGUCUCCAUGCGAUUCAAUCUGUGAAACGCGUAUUUAAUAAAAUACAACUUUUGACAACGGAUCUCUUGGCUCUC